RNAcentral lists this long non-coding RNA (3862 nucleotides) under Nicotiana tabacum (common tobacco). RNAcentral's name for it is "long non-coding RNA (NTAB_LNC004846)". Lineage: Eukaryota; Viridiplantae; Streptophyta; Magnoliopsida; Solanales; Solanaceae. The record is from RNAcentral.
ACCUCAAAAGAUUUAUUUUUUUCUAGAAUUAGUAUUUUAAAGAAAAAUUGUAAUAAAAAUAUAAAAACGCAAAAUCUCUUUUUUGGAUUUUUGAUUUAUAACACACUUUUUCAAAUACAAAAUAAGAAAUACAAUAAAAAAAACUCGACAAACUUACUAGAUUAUGACAGACUUCAACAUCCCUUAAAAGACUUGAUAUUACUAUACAUAAAACACGACAUAAAAAGAAAAACAUACUCAAAACAUAAAAAAAAAUAUAAAAAAAAUACAUAAAUAAAUCUCCUUAAGCAACUCCUACAUGAGUGAUCUUGACUGGAUGGUCCUAAGGCGUCUGUUAUGCCCAAACUUUGGUAAGUAGAUCCACACCUGUAUGAUAUAAUUAAGACCACAUAAAGUUAAAGACCUAGAAUACUAUGUGAGACAUGCAAGACAUGAUUAUGACUAUUUUUCUAAAAUAAACCUAUGUGACAACAAGUGGCUAAAAAUGCAAGAUUUAGCUAAGACUCCGCUUAGCCAAGAACCUAAACUCACUAGAAAGACCAGACACUAUGUGGGUUGCCUACGUAUCCCGCCCCGAGAGACGAGAAUCAGAUUCGCUUAGUUCGGGUAGAUCGAAUAUGGGCGAGAAUAAAAGAAAAAAAUACUGAUUUGAAGAAAAUAUAUAUUGUCUUUUUUUUCUAAAAAUGAUAAAACAUGUAAACUCUUUUUGGAUUUUAUUUUUCCUCUAUUUUCUGUUUUUUUUUUUGGAAAAAAAUUAUGGGAAAGUGCAAAAUCUUUUUGGAUUUUUUUUCAUUUUCAUUUUUUGGUCUUUUCUUGAAAAAUCGUGAAAGAAAAUUAUAACUUGGCCCUACUUGCUCUAUUGCACUUCACCCUCUUUUUCUCAUUUAUCUUCAAACCUCAUUGGUCUGCCAAAUGACCCUUCUACCCUUGAAAAUUGUAAAAUGUAGCACAUAGGAUGCUUCAGGAUGGUCUUUUAUUUUUGGGGUAUUCCUGUCCUAUAUGGACCCAACCCCUGUGUUGAGUCCCCAAAGUCAAAUGCACAUGAUGCAAACAAGCGUUCCUACUAGGGAUCUGGCAUGGGGCUGAGUUAUUCUAGGAUCAAAACCUGGGUAUGUUGUUCUAGACUUGUGUACCCGAGCGGACAACUCGAGCCGAGGGGGCUACGUACAGGGAACCAAAAGGGCAUCCGACUUUGUAACUUGUCCGAGCCUCUUCUUAAUUUAAGGUAUGACACUAACAGAAAAGGAGUCACGCCAGCGUGCACAUCCCCGAAUAUGAGAAGAUAAGGGUUACAUAGCAGUUUAUAUAUAGUUCAAGUAGUAUCAAAGCGGUAAAAAGCAAUAUUUAGCACAUUAGGCCUAAACAUAUAAUAAAACCAGAUAAUAAAUAAAAGCCAAAUAUAACAAUUAUUCUAAGCUCAAAUUCUUGAACCCUGAACCGGAGAUUCUAGGUUCUUGUCCCCAACAGAGUCGUCAAAGCUAUCACACCUCCUUUUUACUACACCGAAAAGGGGGUAUAAGGGAGUUUUUUCCAAUUUAAGUGACAAUCGAAAGGGGAUUAUUUAUUUAAAAUUCAGAGUCGCAACUUGGGAUGAUUUAUGGUGUCCCAAGUCAUCGGUUUUAACUCCCGAAUGAGGAAAGAUUGACUCUGUUUUACAAUCCACGAAAUACAGAAAUUUGGGUAAGGAAUUCUAUUAACCCGAGAGAAGGUGUUAGGCAUUCCCGGUUUCCGUGGCUUUAGCACAAUCGCUCACCUGUUAAUAUUGGCCUAUUUAUCUGAUUUUGAAACAUUUUUGAAACCUAUGUGCAUUUUACCCACUUUUAAUAAUCCACGCUUGUCAUACUGUUAUUUAUUUAAUACACAUUGCGAACCAUGUCAUGGGAACCGUACCCACGAUCUACAAUAUGUUAAUUUUAUUAACAAAAUUAAAUUUUGGCCGGGUCACCUAAAUGUACCCCCGGAUUUUAAAAAUUACGCAUCACAACUACGCCACGGGAACCAUACCCGUAGCUAUGACAAUUUAUUUAAUUAAACACGCCUAAAGCAAACUACGAAAGUUCAGGGCAUUUUUUACACUAGUUAAGAUAUCGAUGUGAGGGCCAUAGACUAGGUGAUUGGAUGGCACACCUCAAUUUUAUUUAAGGAAAAGCAUUCAACUAAGUGAACUAUGGAUAUUCAUAUUUAAAACUAAUUUAAAAUUAGAUAUCACAACUACGCCACGGGAAUUGUACCCGUAGUUGCGAUGAUUACUUACGUGACAAAAAGUUUGCUUACCCAAAUGUAGUUGGCCUAAGCAUAUUCCUAGCUGUUAAGUAAUAACAUAAGCAAAUGAAACAAUACUAAAUGAGAUCUCCUAUUUCUGAUUCAUUUCGUUUCCUGACAAACUUCUAAGUUAAUGGGGAAACACAAUCCAUACAAAGAAUGCCAAAAUCCUUGUCAUGGAAUGCUGAUCAAUGUAGAAACAAAUCAAUCAAGUGUGAAGUUAGCAAGAAUUCAUAUUGUCCUUAGACUUCAACUAAACUAUUGGCAUGUUUUAACAGAAAAGAAGAAGCCAUCCAAAUGUGAUCCUUAAUCAGCAUAGUAACAAGACUAACAUAUUCACUUGAAAGCCAACAACUUUUAUCACCAACUCGGCUAAACCGAACAAAAAAUUUGAAAUUGAAUUAUCACUUCGUCUCAAAUGCGAAUGAACUGCCUUUCUUUGAAUGAAAAAUCCUUUCUCACAAUCAAUUAAAAAAAAUUUCAGCACUCUCACAUGGUAUGAUUAGAGACGGAAACAAAGGACAAGAUGUUAUGUGUUUUCAAACAGAACUGGUAGAGUGAACCAACAGCUCCAAACUUUAUAUACUUGAAUUAACACUUCGCGAUUUCAUACUGACCAAGGACAAAGGCUCAAACUCCAACAGGUACAACAAAGUGGAGGCAGAAUGCUUAAGAAAAUGUCAACAUAACAACCAUUUAGCAUUCUAACAUAGAUAUCAUAUGCUUGUUCAAGACAAUGAACGUGCUCAAUCUACACAACAGCUUAAAGCAAACAGAACCAAAACAGAUACAUGAAUCUGAAUUUCAGCAAGUUAAACAGAGGCAGCUAUGAUAUAAAUGUCUAGUUUCCUACUUAAAAAACAAGUGAAAAAAAAAAUAAAUGGAACAAAUCGCGAAAGCUUGGUCGAGUGUAAAACAAACUUUGAGGCAGCAUUCAAACACAAUCACUUUCAAACUAUCUGUCAAGAACCUACAGAUUUGUAUCAAAUUGCAGAAUGGAAAAUUUCAGAACUUAAUUCACAUGUAAACUCAGCCAAACCAAAUAGAAAUAUUCAUGAAAAUUGCUAACAAUGACAUUACGACCACAAAUCUGUUAACAAUCACAAAAUCGGAACAUUAGGGAGAAAGGGUAUCAGGAAGGAACCUGAAAAUGAGCUUUCAAUUGAUGUUUGAAAUGAUUAGAGAAGGUACAAAGGAAUCUGGAUAUGCAAAUUCCAACAGCGAGCCAAUCCAAAACAUCAAGACGAGAUGUACUCCAACCGGAACGAUGAACUCGGACCUCAGACGACGAAUUAAUCAGCUCUGGACAAACUCCAUCUUUGAGACCAUAACUAAGAGACGAAACUGAAAUUUUGACUCGUUUUGGGUUGUCUAGAAGCAGGCGUCGUUAUUUGGUGUGUUCGACAUUUCUGUUCUAGCUGGUGGGGUUGGUUUCCUGCGAGUUUUAAGAGUUGGGUGUCUAGGUUGUUGAUGUUAAAGAAGAGGGAAAUAGCCUGGUUUUUGUCUUGGACAACAGGUGUUCUUGGGGGUGACAAAGAAGAUGGAAUUCAAAGGGGGGGUCUUGUGUGUAAUGGCUAUAGCUUUAGGGGUGAGGUUCNNN